UAUGUGUAAUCAGCUCUCUGACUUAGUGCCUUAUUAGAAAUUAAUUUUAAGGCAUUUCCUAAUUUCCCAAGAGAGUGAAAAAGGCAACAAUUUAUAUAGGAAUGAAAAGAAGGGAACAAUUCCAGAGGAUCAAGAGAGUGAAGCAAACCUUAUGAGAGAAAGGGAACUUGAACUAGACUUUGGAGGAAGGAAGGGAUUUAGUUAAGCAGGGAGUAGGAGGGGAGGCACCAGGGAGCCAUCACUACUGUUAAGUUUGAUGAAGCACUUGAAUUACAGCUUCCAGGAGAACAUUGACUUUCUUAAUCCACAUUUUAAUUUUUAUUGAGCUAGCAGAAAACUCAUUAGAAUUAUCUUGUUCACCUCAAGUUCUCCUUUCUCCAAUCCAUGACAGAUCACCGUCUGUAUCCCCUUCCUGCCCCUUGCUAAGCCUUGAGAAUCACAAAGCAAAUGAAGAUUUUGAGGGAAAGCAUAACCAAGAAUUGUGGCCCCCAUCACCCAAUAGGUAAGUAGAGAAUCUCAGAUUCCACUUUGGAGCCCCAGCCCCUAACAUGUUUUUGCAGCUGAAAGCUACUUCAGUGUGGGAAUUUUUCAAUGAAGUAACUCAUCUCUUCUUUAAAUAGCAAGGAACUUUAAAUUCCUGCAUGGAGUAGAAAAAACAAGGAAAGCAGUUCUCACCAACAGGUGCUAGAGCAAUCAAAGAUGUAAUUUCUGAACAAGGGAUAGUAGCAAUGAAAUGUGGAGUUUUCACUUUAGAAUGAACAGGCCUGAAGUUUUAACAGCAUUAACUUAAGGACAACUGGAAACCAGCAUAGUAGAGUGGAAAGUUUGGUUAUAGACACACUUAGAUGCAAUUCCAACCUCUGCCGCUUACUAGCAAUGCAUCCUUACUAACCCCUGAAACUUACUUUCUUCCAGUAAAGUAGAGAGAAUAACAUCAGUCUAUUCAUUGCUAGGUGGCCCCGUAGGAAUUCACUAAGUGGUAGUUUCUGAUCUCCCAACUUACUGAAUAUUUUAAUAUUUUCUUAUUUCAUAUACUAUUCAACCAUGUUUUCUUGUUAAAAACUCUUCUGUGGAAAAGUAAAUGAACUUGACUUAGUCCUUGAAUAUAAGGCUUUGCUUCUUUUAACAAAAGGAUAAUUAUUUUUGUCAUCCUGGCUUAGACCAAUUCCUCUUAUUUCUACUGAGUCCCCUAGGAAAUAUGUAGAGCAACAUCAUGUUUAUUUG
This 1224-nucleotide long non-coding RNA is filed under the name Oryctolagus cuniculus (rabbit). RNAcentral describes it as "lncRNA (ENSOCUG00000036588.1)". The record is from RNAcentral. Lineage: Eukaryota; Metazoa; Chordata; Mammalia; Lagomorpha; Leporidae.